This 343-nucleotide unclassified non-coding RNA is filed under the name soil metagenome. RNAcentral describes it as "partial contains 5.8S ribosomal RNA, internal transcribed spacer 2, and large subunit ribosomal RNA". The stretch from base 1 to 120 matches the Rfam family "5.8S ribosomal RNA", at positions 35 to 154 of the family's 154-position model. The record is from RNAcentral.
GAUGAAGAACGUAGCGAAAUGCGAUAAGUAAUGUGAAUUGCAGAAUUCAGUGAAUCAUCGAAUCUUUGAACGCACAUUGCGCCCGCCAGCACUCUGGCGGGCAUGCCUGUCCGAGCGUCAUUUCAACCCUCAGGCCCCCCGGGGACUGGUGUUGGGGAUCGGCCCGCCCUGGCGCGGCGCCGUCCCCGAAAUACAGUGGCGGUCUCGCUGCAGCCUCCCCUGCGUAGUAGCACACCUCGCAUUGGAGAGCGGCGCGGCCACGCCGUGAAACCCCAACUUCUGAUAGUUGACCUCGGAUCAGGUAGGAAUACCCGCUGAACUUAAGCAUAUCAAUAAGCGGAGA